CACUGACAUUAGAUACCCGCGUAGUCCCAGCUGUAAACGAUGCAGACUAGGUGUUUGGACGGCCACGUGCCGUUCUAGUGCCGCAGGGAAGCUGUUAAGUCUGCCGCCUGGGAGUACGAUCGCAAGAUUGAAACUUAAAGGAAUUGGCGGGGGAGCACCACAAGGGGUGAAGCUUGCGGUUUAAUUGGAGUCAACGCCGGAAAUCUCACCGGGAGCGACAGCAGUGUGAUAGCCAGAUUAAAGGUCUUGCUAGACGAGCUG
This 261-nucleotide ribosomal RNA is filed under the name uncultured archaeon. RNAcentral's name for it is "partial 16S ribosomal RNA". It matches the Rfam family "Archaeal small subunit ribosomal RNA", at positions 720 to 982 of the family's 1478-position model. The record is from RNAcentral.